RNAcentral lists this unclassified non-coding RNA (250 nucleotides) under Hevea brasiliensis (rubber tree). The record is from RNAcentral. Lineage: Eukaryota; Viridiplantae; Streptophyta; Magnoliopsida; Malpighiales; Euphorbiaceae.
GAAGGAACAAUGUUAAUGCUAUUACAACUGCUAAUGUUGCUGAUUUCCCACCUAAUUUGGUCAACCCUGAGGCGGUUGAAUUAGUGUCAGACGUUCGAAGGGAAUAUGCCAGAAAACUUGAUGAGUCUGAAGAGAGGGCUCGAAAACUUCGAUCAGAUCUUGCUGUUGAAGAGCAUCGAGGCCAGGAGAUAAGCAGGAUUCUCAAGGAGAUACUGUCUGAUCCAAAGCCCUCACCUCCUCAGAGAUCUCG